Molecule: RNA transcript, 3336 nt
Organism: Enhydra lutris kenyoni (northern sea otter)
Lineage: Eukaryota; Metazoa; Chordata; Mammalia; Carnivora; Mustelidae
Gene name: CDC like kinase 4
Exons: 11
Source: RefSeq, a predicted model, not a curated record
UGUGAAUUGGUCUCCGUUGGUACAGGCUUAACCAGUUCUGUACUAUAUCACUAAGACUCAUGUGGCUAUGAACAAUGCCUUUGUAUAUUGUGGUAAAAGUUCUUAAGUGUCUUCUUACGUAACCUAGAGUGUCAAGUCUUAAACCAGUGAUUCUCAAAUUUGAGAAUGAACAGAAUCGCCUCAGAGUUAUGUUUUAAAUGCAUAUUACCAGAUGUAGAAUUAGUCAUUCUGACCUGGGGCCCAGAUAUCUUCAUUUUUAAUAAUUCAUAUUUAGAUAAUAUUGAAGAAAGACCACCCUUUGAAAACACCAUUUUAAACUCUUUAGCCUGGCAUGCAAGAGUUGCAUGAUCUGUUCCCUGCUUAUAUUAUUUGCCUCUGUUUGUUCCCCUAUGUGGAAUAUUGGUCUUGCUUUAAUUGUCUACAUACUGUUUUCUGGGCGAUACAUAGACAGCCCAUCUCCCAGAACACUGUUGUGAUCUGUUAAUGUGAGAUGGUACUAAUACCAUUCUUCUCCCCUGGCAUUUCUUCUACUUUCUACUUUGUCCAGAUCUUGACGUCCCUUUAAGAUGCAACUCUGCUUUUUUUAUGAAGUCUUCUCACCAUUUUAAGCAUUUUAAGUCCCAUUCCCCACCCCACCCCCAUGAUCCUAAGCACUCAUGCAGUCUUUCAGCAUUUCCUGCAUUGUCGAGUUUUGUUUUUAUGUUAGUAAUCUCAAAUUGUUCAUUUGUUGGCAAGGAUUUUGCCUUAUAUAUAUUUUUUUAUCUUCCACAGGACCUGUGUGGAAAUAAAAACGAAUGCCUGUAGGGCUAUUUUGAAGGACCACAGUGAAAUAUUCACUGGACGUUCAGUGAAUAUUUUUAGAAUUUAAAUCAGUCUGUUCAUCUUGUCCACUCUGUCCAUACAUAGCCUUUAUAAUUCUGUAGACUUUGUUUACAUGAUCUCUAAAGCGUGGUUGUUACAGAUUGAAGAGGUCCCUCAUCUUUCUAGUUUAUCCUCAUGGCUUUAUUUCACCUCAUGUUUGUCAGUCUGUAAUUUGUUUAUGGAUUACUGCAGCUCUAGUUUUAUGUACUAUUUCAGCUAAAGAUUAUUAGCAUUAGUUUUUUCUGAUAGGCUUUGGACUUAUAUGGAAGGGAUGCCUUACAGAAUUAAAAAGGAUGCCCUUGAUAGUGAGGUAAUUUCUAGCCUGAUGUAUUGUAGAUUUCUCGUUGACAGUUUGAGGCCAAGUGAUCAGAUCCCUGACCUAGACCCACAUUCUUAUCGUAAUAUCCUGAGUUGUUUCUCCAAUGGUUAGAACUUAAGAUUGAAACUGACAAAAGGGAGAAAAGGGGGUUCUGCAUUUCCCUAGCCUGGAUUUGAUGGCAGCCCUGUUGUGUAGGAGUUUAGAGAUGCUUUCCUUUUAUUUCUGCCUACACCAGCCCCCCCUGGGAAAAAGAACAACAGCAUAUUCUGGGGAAAGAAUGAGGUUGGUGAGGGCAACUAGUCAACAUCUGUCACUCCAUUGCUUGUCAGGAUUCUUUUAGCUGAUUUGUCUGACUGGGCAGGUGUCCCCUCUCUCCCUCAGUGCUCCAUGUGCAUCCCUCUUGAAGCUUCGCACUCUGUUGAAGAGGACACCAUCCCAGUCAUUAUUUAGAAGCGAGGUCCUUGAAUGAGAGAGAUUAUCGGGACCGGAGAUACGUUGAUGAAUACAGAAAUGACUACUGCGAAGGCUAUGUACCUAGACAUUAUCAUAGAGACGUUGAAAGCGGUUAUCGAGUCCAUUGCAGUAAAUCUUCGGUCCGAAGCAGGAGAAGCAGUCCUAAAAGGAAGCGUAAUAGACACUGUUCAAGUCAUCAGUCACGUUCGAUGAAAUCGUGGACACUUUGGGUGAAGGGGCCUUUGGCAAAGUCGUAGAGUGCAUUGAUCAUGGCAUGGAUGGCAUGCAUGUAGCAGUGAAAAUUGUAAAAAAUGUAGGUCGAUACCGUGAAGCAGCUCGUUCAGAAAUCCAAGUAUUGGAGCAUUUAAAUAGUACUGAUCCCAAUAGUGUCUUCCGAUGUGUCCAGAUGCUAGAAUGGUUUGAUCAUCAUGGUCAUGUUUGUAUUGUGUUUGAACUGCUGGGACUUAGUACCUAUGAUUUCAUUAAAGAAAAUAGCUUUCUACCAUUUCAAAUUGACCACAUCAGGCAGAUGGCGUAUCAGAUCUGCCAGUCUAUAAAUUUUUUGCAUCAUAAUAAGUUAACCCAUACAGAUCUGAAGCCUGAAAAUAUUUUAUUUGUGAAGUCUGACUAUGUAGUCAAAUAUAAUUCUAAAAUGAAACGUGAUGAACGCACAUUGAAAAACACAGAUAUCAAGGUUGUUGACUUUGGAAGUGCAACGUAUGAUGAUGAACAUCAUAGUACUUUGGUAUCUACACGGCAUUACAGAGCUCCAGAGGUCAUUCUGGCUUUAGGUUGGUCCCAGCCUUGUGAUGUUUGGAGCAUAGGUUGCAUUCUUAUUGAAUAUUACCUUGGUUUCACAGUCUUUCAGACUCAUGAUAGUAAAGAGCACCUCGCAAUGAUGGAACGAAUACUAGGACCCAUACCAACACACAUGAUUCAGAAAACAAGAAAACGCAAGUAUUUUCACCAUAACCAGCUAGACUGGGAUGAACACAGUUCCGCUGGCCGAUAUGUUAGGAGACGCUGCAAACCAUUAAAGGAAUUUAUGCUUUGUCAUGAUGAAGAACAUGAGAAACUAUUUGACCUGGUACGAAGAAUGUUAGAAUACGACCCAGUGAAAAGAAUCACCUUGGACGAAGCCUUGCAGCAUCCUUUCUUUGACUUAUUAAACAAGAAAUGAAAUGGAAAUCAGUGGUCUUACUAUAUACUUCUCUAGAAGAGAUUACUUAAGACUGUGUCAGUCAACUCUAAACAUUCUAAUAUUUUUGUAAACAUUAAAUUAUUUUGUACAGUUAAGUGUAAAUACUGUAUGUUUUGUAUCAAUAGUAUAAUUACCUUGUUAAGCAAGUAUGGUCUUGAUAACGAAUGAACUAUAAAAGUUAAAAUUAAUUUUCCUUUUUGAAAUUACCAUUUUAAAAAAUCUUUGGAAUAUUCUUUGUGUCCAGUGAUAAAUGUGAUUGAUCUUGUCUUUUGUACAUGGAGGUCAACUCUUUGAAGUGAUUUUUUUGAGUAAAAGGCAAUCUUGACUACUUUAUUCUUAAUGAAUAUUCUUUAUAUACCUCAAAUUCAAAACUUUUCGUAAUUUUUUUUUCUGUAAUUGUUGAACAGGUAAUAAGUAUUAAUUCCCAAUAGGCAGGUAUUGGAAACCAAAACCCAUAGGAAAAUGUUUACUCUUGGAAUUUCAUUAAAUUUUAAGAAUUGUG